This 1133-nucleotide long non-coding RNA is filed under the name Olea europaea subsp. europaea. The record is from RNAcentral. Lineage: Eukaryota; Viridiplantae; Streptophyta; Magnoliopsida; Lamiales; Oleaceae.
AUCAAGACUACGAUCACUUCAAGAAGAAAUUAGAAGAAAAUAUAUUUAGACACCUUGAUUUCAAAUGUUAAGGUAAAACACUUUAGUAUUUGGCAUAUACGUCAUUUGAAACUCAAGCAACGUUUCUUCGCACGACAAACACGAUUUUUGCAUAAAGAAAAGCACGAAACCUAUUACAUACUUUUAGACAUGUGAAAAAGUCCAUAAAACAUAUUAGAAACAUCCUUCAUGAGUUUACAUUUUGCCACAUCAUUUAAAGAAGGAAAAAUCCAAAAAUAUGCCGAUUUAGAGGACGCAUCCGGUAGCUAGAGGACGCAUCUGAUAGCUCUACCGGACGAGUCUGGUAAUUCUAGCGGACGUCCGGUAUGACAGGUUUGUCCAACGGUCAAGAAAUCGAACGUUCUAACUUUUGAACAAAAAAUGGUUAGUUGACCAUCUGGUAUGAUAGCGGACGUCCGAUAGCUUCGUCCGAUAGAACAGAACUUUUGACCGUUUUUAUUGCUAUAAAUACUAGAUCACUUUGCAUUCAAUGAGGGACUUUACAUGAGCAUUUAAAGUGAGACAUCAUUAAUCUAUCACCUAUAUACAUCUAUUUUUUCAAUCUAUUUAUUAGAAAAACAUUUGAUUGAUCCAACUUUUGAAAAUCAUUCUUUUCAAAGUAUUUUUCUUUUAUAACACUUGAGCUUCAAUCGUUGCUAUCUACUAAAGUGUUAGCCAUCUUCUCUUGUUGUAUUCAACUUCAAUUAUAUCAUUUAUUGCAAGAGAAAUUUUCAUUUGUAUACUCCUUAUCUUUCAAACUUGUGGGUCGAGUUGAAGUCCCGAAAAUUUCAACAUUGUAAAGGAAUGGUGCUCCUUGUUUGUAAGUCACCGAAAGCGUUGUAAGAAGGUUGGAUUGCACCAUAAGUCAAUCAAUAUGGUGAAAAAGGGCUUGCUCGUGACAGAGAGUUUGGUAACGGGGAACGUAGAUCGUGAUUGGAUUGAACCUCCUUAUUGCAUCGUUUGCACUCUCUUUUCCAUUCCUCUUAUUACUUUUGUGUUAUCUUGUUUAUUCAUAGUUAUUUGUUUAAAUUUGCGCUUAUAUUCGAAAAAGGAUCGAAUAACCAAUUCACCCCCCUCUUGGUUAAUUGUCUUGG